This 497-nucleotide ribosomal RNA is filed under the name uncultured bacterium. Its description in RNAcentral is "partial 16S ribosomal RNA". It matches the Rfam family "Bacterial small subunit ribosomal RNA", at positions 28 to 507 of the family's 1533-position model. The record is from RNAcentral.
GAUGAACGCUGGCGGCGUGCCUAAUACAUGCAAGUCGAGCGAACGGACGAGAAGCUGGCUUCUCGGAUGUUAGCGGCGGACGGGUUAGUAACACGUGUAUAACCUACCUAGAAGACUGGGAUAACUUCGGGAAACCGUAGCUAAUACCGUAUAAUAUUUUGAACCGCAUGGUUCAAAAGUGAAAUACGGUCUUGCUGUCACUUAUAGAUGGAUCCGCGCUGCAUUAGCUAGUUGGUAAGGUAACGGCUUACCAAGGCAACGAUGCAUAGCCGACCUGAGAGGGUGAUCGGCCACACUGGAACUGAGACACGGUCCAGACUCCUACGGGAGGCAGCAGUAGGGAAUCUUCCGCAAUGGGCGAAAGCCUGACGGAGCAACGCCGCGUGAGUGAUGAAGGUCUUCGGAUCGUAAAACUCUGUUAUUAGGGAAGAACAUAUGUGUAAGUAACUGUGCACAUCUUGACGGUACCUACUCAGAAAGCCACGGCUAACUACGUG